ACUUGAAAAACAACAUAAAUGUGCAAAGCUAGGGUAAAGUAAUUAAUUAAUUUUGGAGAUGAAAUAUAGUUCUUACAAUUCCACAAUGUUUUGCUUCUCAGUAAGGUGAAUUGUUCAAUAUGCUGCUGCAUUUAAAGUCUUCGAGACAUAAAUAGGUCGAAUUUUCCACUCCUUUUUGCUAGAUUUGGGUUGCAGCAACCAUGAAUUUGACAUUUGAAUCGGAAUUUUACUUCGAGACCAAAAAGAAGCUAUACACCCGAUAUCACCACAGAGUAAGCUCCGAUCCGUUUUUUGGCUCCAUUUCCAUUUCCCUUUCUCACCUUAAAGUUAAUUUCAAAGGGACAUAUCCAUUUUUUCAGUUUUUU
Molecule: long non-coding RNA, 365 nt
Filed under: Nicotiana benthamiana
Lineage: Eukaryota; Viridiplantae; Streptophyta; Magnoliopsida; Solanales; Solanaceae
Description: long non-coding RNA (NBEN_LNC041796)
Source: RNAcentral